Molecule: long non-coding RNA, 2197 nt
Organism: Bos taurus (domestic cattle)
Lineage: Eukaryota; Metazoa; Chordata; Mammalia; Artiodactyla; Bovidae
Source: Ensembl
UUGGCAAUUUGAUCUCUGGUUCCUCUGCCUUUUCUAGAACUAGCUUGAACAUCUGGAAGUUCAUGGUUCACGUACUGUUGAAGCCUGGCUUGGAGAGUUUUAAGCAUUACUUUGCUAGCAUGAGAUGAGUGCCAUUGUGCGGUAGUUUGAGCAUUCUUUGGCAUUGCCUUUCUUUGGGAUUGGAAUGAAAACUGACCUUUUCCAGUCCCGUGGCCACUGCUGAGUUUUCCAAAUUUGCUAGCAUAUUGAGUGCAACACUUUCACAGCAUCAUCUUUUAGGAUUUGUAAUAGCUCAACUGGAAUUCCAUCACCUCCACUAUCUUUGUUCGUGGUGAUGCUUCCUAAGGCCCACUCGACUUCACAUUCCAGGAUGUCCGACUCUAGGUGAGUGAUCACAUCAUCGUGAUUAUCUGGGUCAUGAAGGUCUUUUUUGUACACUUCUUCUGUGUAUUCUUGCCACCUCUUCUUAAUACCUUUUGCUUCUGUUAGGUCCAUUCCAUUUCUGUCCUUUAUUGUGCCCUUUAUUGUGCAUGAAAUAUUCCCUUGGUAUCUCUAAUUUUCUUGAGGAGACCUCUAGUCUUUCUCAUUCUAUUGUUUUCCUCUAUUUCUUUGCAUUGAUCACUGAGGAAGGCAUUCUUAUCUCUCCUUGCUAUUCUUUGGAACUCUGCAUUCAGAUGCUUAUAUCUUUCCUUUUCUCCUUUGCUUUUCACUUCUCUUCUUUUCUCAGCUAUUUGUAAGGCUUCCUUAGACAACCAUUUUGCCUUUUUUGCAUUUCUUUUUCUUGGGGAUGGUCUUGAUCACUGCCUCCUGUAUAAUUUCACAAACCUUCAUCCACAAUUAUUCAGUUGCCAUAGUUCAUGAACUUACACAACUCAAACUUCUCUGAUUGCCAGUCAAUGCUCUCCACAGCAGGGCUUCAACCAUUGUCUCCAAAUUUUCAUUUUGUUGGAAAGAUGCGGACAUUUUUUGUUUUAGUUCCGUUUCAGUGACAGCAGCGCCAUCUACUGGACAGUCUUUGUUCUAAAUAGAACUGAGCAUCAACAUUCUAGACUCCUAAAAACAGUGAUUCCUAAGCCCAGUGGUUCCUCAUAAUCACGUGGAGAGGUAUAAUUCUGGUUCUGAUUCCCACCCCAGGCCCACCUGCGAAUCAAAUCAGUGAUUGGUGGUAGAAUCUAUGAAGAAGCGAGGCUCUUGAUUCGAGUCCUGAAGCUGCUUUGGAGCAGUUCUGUAGGCUGUUCCUGGAUAUUCAAAGCCUCCAUCUGGGGUCUUGCCACCCCUCCCCGGUCUAACCCUGUGUCCUUCAUUGUGAUACAGUUUUUUCCUUUACCCUUCCUCCGGUUUAGCAAAGCAUCUCUCUCAAUAUUUCAUUCCCUCUCAGAAAUCUAUCGGAGAAGGCAAUGGCGACCCACUCCAGUACUCUUGCCUGGAAAAUCCCAUGGACAAAGGAGCCUGGUAGGCUGCAGUCCAUGGGGUCGCUAAGAGUCGGACAUUGACUGAGCGACUUCAUUUUGACUUUUCACUUUCAUGCACUGGAGAAGGAAAUGGCAACCCACUCCAGUGUUCUUGCCUGGAGAAUCCCAGGGACGGAGGAGCCUGGUGGGCUGCCGUCUAUGGGGUCGCACAGAGUCGGCCAUGAUUGAAGCGACUUAGCAGCAGCAGCAGCAGCAGCAGCAGCAAUCUAUACAACUGGAAGUGACAGCAUCGGGGAAAAUUAGUGGGUGAAACUCUUGUUGGAAUUUCUGCUCUGAAUUGUGGAAGCAGGUGUGUGCAGCGUGAAGACUCUUCUGAGGAAGCCGGGCGGAAGCUGCGGGAGCCCUGGGUUUUAUAAGAACCCUCAGCCAAAACUGAGACGUGCUUCUUGAGCAGCUCUCACAGUUUGAGCUCUGGUGCUAAACACAUCGGAUGGGACCUUGGAGGAUGACAAGGACACACUAGAGAAAGCUUUUUGGAACCCCAAAACCAACAUGGGAAGAAGAUGGGUUAGUUUGUUGGAAAAUGAGAGACUGUGUGAUGUGGAACAGAGAUAAGCUGUUUCAACUGAGGGCCCCUCUUCCUUCUGCUUUAGACCUCCAAGCCUGCAACAUGUGUGUACAAGGCCAUCCUAGAUGAUCUACCCCCGACUGGAAAGAUUCACCAAGUCAGCAGAAAAACCACACUGAUGACCCAGAGAAUUAUGAUAAAUAAUAAAUGUUUUGCU